AAAUGCACAGGCUGUGAACUCGAUGAGUAGGGCGGGACACGUGACAUCCUGUCUGAAUAUGGGGGGACCAUCCUCCAAGGCUAAAUACUCCUGACUGACCGAUAGUGAACCAGUACCGUGAGGGAAAGGCGAAAAGAACCCCGGCGAGGGGAGUGAAAUAGAACCUGAAACCGUGUACGUACAAGCAGUGGGAGCACCUUCGUGGUGUGACUGCGUACCUUUUGUAUAAUGGGUCAGCGACUUAUAUUUUGUAGCAAGGUUAACCGAAUAGGGGAGCCGUAGGGAAACCGAGUCUUAACUGGGCGUCUAGUUGCAAGGUAUAGACCCGAAACCCGGUGAUCUAGCCAUGGGCAGGUUGAAGGUUGGGUAACACUAACUGGAGGACCGAACCGACUAAUGUUGAAAAAUUAGCGGAUGACUUGUGGCUGGGGGUGAAAGGCCAAUCAAACCGGGAGAUAGCUGGUUCUCCCCGAAAGCUAUUUAGGUAGCGCCUCGUGAACUCAUCUUCGGGGGUAGAGCACUGUUUCGGCUAGGGGGCCAUCCCGGCUUACCAAACCGAUGCAAACUCCGAAUACCGAAGAAUGUUAUCACGGGAGACACACGGCGGGUGCUAACGUCCGUCGUGAAGAGGGAAACAACCCAGACCGCCAGCUAAGGUCCCAAAGUCAUGGUUAAGUGGGAAACGAUGUGGGAAGGCACAGACAGCCAGGAUGUUGGCUUAGAAGCAGCCAUCAUUUAAAGAAAGCGUAAUAGCUCACUGGUCGAGUCGGCCUGCGCGGAAGAUGUAACGGGGCUAAACCAUGCACCGAAGCUGCGGCAGCGACACUUAGGUGUUGUUGGGUAGGGGAGCGUUCUGUAAGCCGUUGAAGGUGACCUGUGAGGGUUGCUGGAGGUAUCAGAAGUGCGAAUGCUGACAUAAGUAACGAUAAUGCGGGUGAAAAACCCGCACGCCGGAAGACCAAGGGUUCCUGUCCAACGUUAAUCGGGGCAGGGUGAGUCGACCCCUAAGGCGAGGCUGAAAAGCGUAGUCGAUGGGAAACAGGUUAAUAUUCCUGUACUUGGUGUUACUGCGAAGGGGGGACGGAGAAGGCUAGGCUGGCCGGGCGACGGUUGUCCCGGUUUAAGCGUGUAGGGGGAGUGACCAGGUAAAUCCGGUUGCUUAUCAACCCUGAGGCGUGAUGACGAUGCACCACGGUGCAGAAGCAGUUGAUGCCAUGCUUCCAGGAAAAGCCUCUAAGCAUCAGGUAACAUUAAAUCGUACCCCAAACCGACACAGGUGGUCAGGUAGAGAAUACUCAGGCGCUUGAGAGAACUCGGGUGAAGGAACUAGGCAAAAUGGUGCCGUAACUUCGGGAGAAGGCACGCUGGCGUUAGGUGAAAGGACUAGCUCCUGGAGCUGAAGCCAGUCGCAGAUACCAGCUGGCUGCAACUGUUUAAUAAAAACACAGCACUGUGCAAACACGAAAGUGGACGUAUACGGUGUGACGCCUGCCCGGUGCUGGAAGGUUAAUUGAUGGGGUCAGCCGCAAGGCGAAGCUCUUGAUCGAAGCCCCAGUAAACGGCGGCCGUAACUAUAACGGUCCUAAGGUAGCGAAAUUCCUUGUCGGGUAAGUUCCGACCUGCACGAAUGGCGUAAUGAUGGCCAGGCUGUCUCCACCCGAGACUCAGUGAAAUUGAACUCGCUGUGAAGAUGCAGUGUACCCGCGGCAAGACGGAAAGACCCCGUGAACCUUUACUAUAGCUUGACACUGAACAUUGAGCCUUGAUGUGUAGGAUAGGUGGGAGGCCUUGAAGUGUGGACGCCAGUCUGCAUGGAGCCAACCUUGAAAUACCACCCUUUAAUGUUUGAUGUUCUAACUCGGCCCCAUGAUCUGGGGUGAGGACAGUGUCUGGUGGGUAGUUUGACUGGGGCGGUCUCCUCCCAAAGAGUAACGGAGGAGCACGAAGGUUAGCUAAUCACGGUCGGACAUCGUGAGGUUAGUGCAAAGGCAUAAGCUAGCUUGACUGCGAGAGUGACGGCUCGAGCAGG
This 2029-nucleotide ribosomal RNA is filed under the name Yersinia pestis. RNAcentral's name for it is "partial 23S ribosomal RNA". It matches the Rfam family "Bacterial large subunit ribosomal RNA", at positions 383 to 2397 of the family's 2925-position model. The record is from RNAcentral. Lineage: Bacteria; Pseudomonadati; Pseudomonadota; Gammaproteobacteria; Enterobacterales; Yersiniaceae.